RNAcentral lists this transfer RNA (72 nucleotides) under Acidobacteriota bacterium. RNAcentral describes it as "tRNA-Thr". It matches the Rfam family "tRNA". From Rfam's summary of the family: Transfer RNA (tRNA) molecules are approximately 80 nucleotides in length. Their secondary structure includes four short double-helical elements and three loops (D, anti-codon, and T loops). Further hydrogen bonds mediate the characteristic L-shaped molecular structure. tRNAs have two regions of fundamental functional importance: the anti-codon, which is responsible for specific mRNA codon recognition, and the 3' end, to which the tRNAs corresponding amino acid is attached (by aminoacyl-tRNA synthetases). tRNAs cope with the degeneracy of the genetic code in two manners: having more than one tRNA (with a specific anti-codon) for a particular amino acid; and 'wobble' base-pairing, i.e. permitting non-standard base-pairing at the 3rd anti-codon position. RNAcentral also lists the same sequence under 3 other names. Lineage: Bacteria; Pseudomonadati; Acidobacteriota. The record is from RNAcentral.
GCUGGCGUAGCUCAAAGGUAGAGCAACUGAUUUGUAAUCAGUAGGUUGGGGGUUCAAUUCCCUUCGCCAGCU